Molecule: ribosomal RNA, 226 nt
Filed under: Bacillus toyonensis
Lineage: Bacteria; Bacillati; Bacillota; Bacilli; Caryophanales; Bacillaceae
Description: partial 23S ribosomal RNA
Rfam family: Bacterial large subunit ribosomal RNA
Source: RNAcentral
GCCCCUAAGGCGAGGCUGAAAAGCGUAGUCGAUGGGAAACAGGUUAAUAUUCCUGUACUUGGUGUUACUGCGAAGGGGGGACGGAGAAGGCUAGGCUAGCCGGGCGACGGUUGUCCCGGUUUAAGCGUGUAGGGGGUGUGACCUGGUAAAUCCGGUUGCAUAUUAACCCUGAGGCGUGAUGACGAUGCACUACGGUGCAGAAGUAGUUGAUGCCCUGCUUCCAGGA